RNAcentral lists this unclassified non-coding RNA (377 nucleotides) under uncultured Lophiostoma. RNAcentral describes it as "sequence contains ITS2". The stretch from base 1 to 154 matches the Rfam family "5.8S ribosomal RNA". Lineage: Eukaryota; Fungi; Ascomycota; Dothideomycetes; Pleosporales; Lophiostomataceae. The record is from RNAcentral.
AAAUUUCGACAAUGGAUCACUUGGCUCUCGCCUCGAUGAAGAACGCAGCGAAAUGCGAUAAGUAGUGUGAAUUGCAGAAUUAAGUGAAUCAUCGACUCUUUGAACGCACAUUGCGCCCUUUGGUAUUCCUUAGGGCACGCCUGUCCGAGCGUCAUCUAAAAGCCUCAAGCCCAGCCGGCUUGGUGUUGGGCGUUUGUCCCGCCUCGGGCGCGGACUCGCCUCAAAAGCAUUGGCGGCCCGUGUAGUUGGCUUCGAGCGCAGCAGACUCGCGCCUCGCGAACGACUGGCACGGGCGUCCAUCAAGACGCACCCCCAAGUUUGACCUCGGAUCAGGUAGGGAUACCCGCUGAACUUAAGCAUAUCAAUAAGCGGAGGCU